GUGGGGAAUCUUGCGCAAUGGGCGAAAGCCUGACGCAGCCAUGCCGCGUGAAUGAUGAAGGUCUUAGGAUUGUAAAAUUCUUUCACCGGGGACGAUAAUGACGGUACCUGGAGAAGAAGCUCCGGCUAACUUCGUGCCAGCAGCCGCGGUAAUACGAAGGGGGCUAGCGUUGCUCGGAAUUACUGGGCGUAAAGGGCGCGUAGGCGGACAGCUUAGUCAGCGGUGAAAGCCCAGGGCUCAACCUUGGAAUUGCAUUUGAUACUGGCUGUCUUGAGUUUGGGAGAGGUGAGUGGAACUCCGAGUGUAGAGGUGAAAUUCGUAGAUAUUCGGAAGAACACCAGUGGCGAAGGCGACUCACUGGCCCAAUACUGACGCUGAGGCGCGAAAGCGUGGGGAGCAAACAGGAUUAGAAACCCCAGUAGUCC
This 425-nucleotide ribosomal RNA is filed under the name uncultured bacterium. Its description in RNAcentral is "partial 16S ribosomal RNA". It matches the Rfam family "Bacterial small subunit ribosomal RNA", at positions 354 to 796 of the family's 1533-position model. The record is from RNAcentral.